UCGCCCGGGAACUACGAGCAAAGCUUAAAACCCAAAGGACUUGACGGUGCCCCAUAUCCCCCUAGAGGAGCCUGUCCUACAACCGAUAACCCCCGAUUAACCUCACCAUUUUUAGUUAUUCAGCCUGUAUACCUCCGUCGUCAGCUUACCCCGUGAGCGAAAUAUAGUGAGCUUAAUGCCUUUACACCAAUACGUCAGGUCAAGGUGCAGCAAAUAAAAUGGGAAGAGAUGGGCUACACUUUCUAACAUAGAAAAUACGAAAGACUACAUAUGAAACCUAGUCAGAAGGCGGAUUUAGCAGUAAAAAGAUAACAGAGAGUUCUUUUUAAUUUGGCACUGGGGUGUGU
RNAcentral lists this ribosomal RNA (347 nucleotides) under Rhinoderma darwinii. RNAcentral describes it as "partial 12S ribosomal RNA". It matches the Rfam family "Bacterial small subunit ribosomal RNA", at positions 869 to 1384 of the family's 1533-position model. The record is from RNAcentral. Lineage: Eukaryota; Metazoa; Chordata; Amphibia; Anura; Rhinodermatidae.